CAGUAGCCGCGGGAAUACGUAGGGUGCGAGCGUUAAUCGGAAUUACUGGGCGUAAAGCGGGCGCAGACGGUUACUUAAACAGGAUGUGAAAUCCCCGGGCUCAACCUGGGAACUGCGUUCUGAACUGGGUGACUAGAAUGUGUCAGAGGGAGGUAGAAUUCCACGUGUAGCAGUGAAAUGCGUAGAGAUGUGGAGGAAUACCGGUGGCGAAGGCAGCCUCCUGGGAUAACACAGACGUUCAUGCCCGAAAGCGUGGGUAGCAAACAGGAUUAGAUACCCCCGUAGUCCCUGUCUCUUAUAC
Molecule: ribosomal RNA, 301 nt
Filed under: uncultured bacterium
Lineage: Bacteria
Description: partial 16S ribosomal RNA
Rfam family: Bacterial small subunit ribosomal RNA
Source: RNAcentral